Molecule: ribosomal RNA, 466 nt
Filed under: uncultured bacterium
Lineage: Bacteria
Description: partial 16S ribosomal RNA
Rfam family: Bacterial small subunit ribosomal RNA
Source: RNAcentral
GAUGAACGCUGGCGGCGUGCUUAACACAUGCAAGUCGAACGGAAAGGCUCCUGCUUGCAGGGGUACUCGAGUGGCGAACGGGUGAGUAACACGUGGGUGAUCUGCCCUGCACUUCGGGAUAAGCCUGGGAAACUGGGUCUAAUACCGGAUAGGACGAUGGUUUGGAUGCCAUUGUGGAAAGUUUUGCGGUGUGGGAUGAGCUCGCGGCCUAUCAGCUUGUUGGUGGGGUAAUGGCCUACCAAGGCGUCGACGGGUAGCCGGCCUGAGAGGGUGUACGGCCACAUUGGGACUGAGAUACGGCCCAGACUCCUACGGGAGGCAGCAGUGGGGAAUAUUGCACAAUGGGCGCAAGCCUGAUGCAGCGACGCCGCGUGGGGGAUGACGGCCUUCGGGUUGUAAACUCCUUUCGCUAGGGACGAAGCGUUUUGUGACGGUACCUGGAGAAGAAGCACCGGCUAACUACGUG